UUCUUCUUCUUCUUCUCCUUCUCCUUCUUGUCCUUCUCCUUCUCCUUCUUAUCCUUCUCCUUCUCCUUCUUAUCCUUCUCCCUCUUCUUUUUAUCCUUCUUCUUCUUCUUCUUCUACUUAUCCUUCUUCUUCUUCUUCUUCUUCUUCUUCUUAUUCUUCUUCUCCUUCUCCUUCUCCUUCUUCUAGAGAGAUAAUAAUUGAGAGGAGUUUUGGAAAUUCUUUUAGGAUUUUGAGAGAAUGACUUAAUUUGGGGAUUUUGGGGGGUUAGA
RNAcentral lists this long non-coding RNA (269 nucleotides) under Solanum tuberosum (potato). Its description in RNAcentral is "long non-coding RNA (STUB_LNC001447)". The record is from RNAcentral. Lineage: Eukaryota; Viridiplantae; Streptophyta; Magnoliopsida; Solanales; Solanaceae.